Molecule: ribosomal RNA, 2770 nt
Filed under: Capsicum chinense (habanero)
Lineage: Eukaryota; Viridiplantae; Streptophyta; Magnoliopsida; Solanales; Solanaceae
Description: bacterial LSU rRNA
Rfam family: Eukaryotic large subunit ribosomal RNA (bases 1-2157)
Source: RNAcentral
CAUCUCCUCAAUUGUGAUAGGCAGUGCGCGCCUCUGUCUUGCUUUGGUAUGUGCGUUCUCCGGACACUAGCCUGUGGGCUCCCCAUUAGAGCCUUCUUGAAACACGGACCAAGGAGUCUGACAUGUGUGCGAGUAAACAGGCGAGUAAACCUGUAAAGAAGCUAAUUAGUGGGAUCCCCCUGAGGCAUGCUCCGCCGACCAACCUUGAUCUUCUAAGAAGGGUUUGAGUGUGAGCAUACCUUUCUGGACCCAAAUGAUAGUGAACUAUGCCUGACCAGGGCGAAGCCAGAGGAAACUCUGAUGGAGGCCCGCAAUGAUACUGAUGUGCAAAUCGUUCGUUUGACUUGGAUAUAAGGGCAAAAUCCUAAUUGAACCGUCUAGUAAUUGGUUCCGUCCAAAGUUUCCCUCAGGAUAGCUGAAGCUCACGUGCGAGUUCUAUUGGGUAAAGCCAAUGAUUAGAAGCCUAGGGGGCACAACACCAUCGACCUAUUCUCAAACCUUAAAUAGGUAGGACGGCGCGGAUGCUUUAUCAAGCCGCGCCAUAAAACCAAGAGCACCAAGUGGGCCAUUUUUGGUAAGCAGAACUGGCGAUGCGGGAUUAACCAAAAACAGGGUUAUGGUGCCAAAUUGCAUGCUAACCUAGAUCCCAUAAAGGGUGUUGGUCGAUUAAGAUAGAAAGACGAUGUUCAUGGAAGUUGAAAUCCACUAAGGAGUGUGUAAUAACUCAUCUGACGAAUCAACUAGCCCCAAAAAUAGAUUUCACUUAAGUGCGCGACCUACACCCAGCCGUCGGGGCAAGUGCCAGGCCCAAAUGAGUAGGAGGGCACGGCGGUCGCUGGAAAAACCUUAGGCAUGAGCACAGGAUGAGAAGCCGUUGGUGCAGAUCUUAGUGGUAGUAACAAAUAUUCAAAUAAGAAUUUAAAGACCGAAGAGGGGAAAGGUUCCAUGUGAACGGUACUUGCACAUGGGUUAGUCGAUCCUAAGGGUCAGGGGAACCCCGACAAAUAGCGGGUUUCGCGUGUACUGUAAAAGAGAAUCGGGUUAAAAUUCCUGAACCAGGACGUUGAGAUUGACGACAAUGUUAGGAAGUCCAAAGACGUCGGUGAAAGCCUCGGGAAGAGUUAUCUUUUCUAUUUAACAGCCUUCCCACCCUGGAAUUGGCUCAGCCGAAAGUAGGGUCCAGCGGUUGGAUAAGCACAACACUUUGCGUGGUGUCCAGUGUGCCCUCGGCAGCCCUUGAAAAUUCAGAGGACCGAACGUCAUCCACACUUGGUUGUACUCAUAACCGCAUCAGGUCUCCAAGGUGAACAACCUCUGGUUAAUUGAACAAUGUAUGCAAGGGAAGUCGGCAAAAUGGAUCCAUAAUUUUUGGAAAAAGAUAGGCUCUGAGGGCUAGGUACGGGGGUUCCAGUCCUAAACCCGUCGGCUGUCGAUGGAUGCUCAAGCUGCCCCUGCAGUGGAGUGGGUUGCCACAUGCCAGCCGAGUGACGUACUAGGAACGGUUCCUUCGUGGGCCUUCCCCAAGCGUCGAACAUCCAACUCAGAACUGGUAAGAACAGGGGAAAUUUGACUGUUUAAUUAAAACAUAGCAUUGCGAUGAUCCCAACGGAUGUUCACGUAAUGUGAUUUCUUCCCAGUGCCCUGAAUGUCAAAGUGAAGAAAUUCAACCAAGCGCGGGAAAAUGGCAGGAGUAAAUAUGACUCUCUUAAGGUAGCCAAAUGCCUUAUCAUCUAAUUAGUGAUGCGCAUGAAUGGAUUAACGAGAUUCCCACUGUCUCUGUCUACUAUCCAGUAAAACCACAGCCAAGGGAUUCACACAAUUGGUUAUCACGUUUGGUUGAACAACCAUUGGUGAAAAGUUACAAUGUGAUGGAUUAUGAUUGAACGCCUGUAAGUUAGAAUAAGGGCUAGAAGUGAUGCAUGCACCAGCCAUCCACUUGCCGACCCGCAGUUGGGGCCUCAGCCCCCAAGGGCACAUGUUGUUGGCUAAGCCAUCAUGGCGGAAGGGUCAUGUUGGCCUCCUUGAAGUAUAAUAUCCAUCGAGUGGUAGGUAGAAUCCUUUGUAGAUGACUUAUAUACGCGAUGGGGUAUUGUAGGUGGAAAAGUGGCCUUACAGCCACGAUCCACGGAGAUUCAGCCCCUUGUCACUUUAGUUCUUUCUUCCCCCUCCAAUCCAAUCAUUUUUCCAUCCAUCUCCAAAAAAGGUUUGUGCAUCCCUACUUGAAAAAUCCCACUAACUGUUGUGAGUUUACCUCAAUCUCGAGCAUGUCGCGGCAUAGCCUCACCCGAGUUAACCACUUGUUUUUCAAGUGUCGCAUGUGUUUCAUUCUUAACAGUUAAGUAUGAUAUCAGGUAGCCAUUUAUAUAAAACUAUGGUGUCUCAAUUAGAGGUUUUCUAUGUCGUAACGUGUGGCUCGAGAGCCCAGCAAUGCAUCGUGAUUACUACGUCGGUGCGUAGAGGCAUCUCGCAAUUAGAGGUUAAGGUGAUCGUGAAGUGCAAUCCUAGAAACAUGUCUAAUGACCCAGGAUACGACGCCCGGCGAAAUCAAAAGCAUGAAAAAAAGUGUCGUCAAGUGCCAUGAUGAAAAAUGCUGAAGGACCUAUAGUGGCCUACUAUGGUGGUGUCUUUGUCGAGUUGGUUGCACCACGGCACCACAGCACUGUGCACCAUGGCGCCAAGGCACCAAGGCACUACAACACUGCGCACCAUGGCACCGUGCACAUGGCACCAUGGCACCAAGGCACCGCGCACUAUGGAACCAUGGCACCGU